CAUUCACACAGACUUCCUUUCCCCACAUUAUCAAAGGCUGACUCACUUAUAUCCUCCCCGUCAGCUGUGGACUCACAGAACAGAUAUUUAGUCUGACUGUGUCGCCUGCUGUCGGGCGGAUCGUCGGUCUUCAUUGGUAAUAAAUAUCUCUUCUCUUCCUCAGAGAUGACUUCAUGAGGUCACUGAGUUUGUGGCUUUUCAUUAAUGUCUUUAACAUACAUCAGUUCUGAAGAUGAGCUUUAGUUUGAUUUGUGAGGUCUCUAUUAUUUCAGUUAAGAUGCGUCUGAGUGGACACAUCAAACUUUAUUUUCAUUUUCAAAAGGUUUUUCAAAAGCAGGAGGACUGCAGGAAUGUGGUGAGUGCCUGACUGUGUGCACACCGCAGCCUCAUUACUGCGACCGCCUGAGGGAAGGUUUCAUGCAGAGAAUCAGAGCCGCCUGCAGAGAGACGGGACAAGUUAAGGUUCGCACGGAGGAGCCUGCAGGACGGAGCCCGCUGGUUUCUGGUUGUACAGCUGAAGUUUCUCCGCUGUGAUCUUCCAGACUUUAAACGUUCUGGUUGUUUCUCUUGUUUUGUUCACUUUUAGCAGAGUUCAUGUAGCUCUUCGUGUCGCCCAGGAAACACAACACACGAGAAUCUGACGGAGUUAUUGAUUGUGCAGUGGGUGUCCUCCGUGUCACCGCUGUCCUCCGUGUCUCCACAUGUUUUAGCUCCUCCACUCGUGGGUGGCUCACAUUUCUGCUAUUCUGCUCAGUAAUGAACUCUGCAGACCACAAGAAGUUUCCUGCUUCCCACAGCUGCUAAAUCUUUCCAGACAGUGUGUGUGUGUGUGUGUGUGUGUGUGUGUGUGUGUGUGUGUGUGUGUGUGUGUGUGUGUGUGUGUGUGUGUGUGUGUGUGUAUGUGUGUGUGUGUGUGUGUGAGAGCUCUGGUGGUUGAGAGGUUCACCCUGAAGAACAAGCCUCAGCUCUUCUGCCUCUUCUGCCUCGUCGUCAGACUGCAGAUUGAUUCCACAUCCUCUAAAGUUGGGCCUGAUACGCGAGGAUUAAAUCCUCCUUCUGUUCUCUUCACCACCAUCGAGGUUUCUCCUCUUAGUUUGGGACGACAGAGAUCUACUCUUUCACAUCUCAUGACCUUGUGACUUUCCCACCCAGAAACAGAGGUGCUUUACUCUCCCUGUAAUAACAGAGCCUGUGCAUUGAGAACGCCUGCAUCGCUGCUCAUGAUAAGGCAGGACGCUACGCCGCGAUGUUCACCGUGGACAAAGUCCUAACCCCACCCAUGGGCACCAUCAUGGACGUCCUGAAGGCAGACGACCGCUUCAGCCUGCUGGUCGGAGCCGUGCAGACUGCCGGGAUGACGGAACUGCUGAACCAGCAGUUGGCGCUCACCUUCUUCGCUCCACCAAUGCCGCCUUCAGCGCUCUGCCGCGGGCCGACCUCAACCAGCUGAUGC
Molecule: long non-coding RNA, 1453 nt
Organism: Cottoperca gobio
Lineage: Eukaryota; Metazoa; Chordata; Actinopteri; Perciformes; Bovichtidae
Exons: 3
Source: RefSeq, a predicted model, not a curated record